GACGAACGCUGGUGGCGUGCUUAACACAUGCAAGUCGAACGGGAUUUCGUAAACAGACGCCUCGGUGGAAGAUUACUAAUGAGAGUGGCGAACGGGUGAGUAACGCGUGAGCAACCUGCCUAUGACAGUGGGAUAGCCUCGGGAAACCGGGAUUAAUACCGCAUAAAAUCGUAGAAACACAUGUUUUAACGGUCAAAGAUUUAUCGGUCAUAGAUGGGCUCGCGUCUGAUUAGCUAGUUGGUGAGAUAACAGCCCACCAAGGCGACGAUCAGUAGCCGGUCUGAGAGGAUGAACGGCCACAUUGGAACUGAGACACGGUCCAAACUCCUACGGGAGGCAGCAGUGGGGAAUAUUGCACAAUGGGGGAAACCCUGAUGCAGCGACGCCGCGUGAACGAAGAAGGUAUUCGUAUCGUAAAGUUCUGUCCUAUGGGAAGAUAAUGACAGUACCAUAGAAGAAAGCUCCGGCUAAAUACGUG
Molecule: ribosomal RNA, 478 nt
Filed under: uncultured bacterium
Lineage: Bacteria
Description: partial 16S ribosomal RNA
Rfam family: Bacterial small subunit ribosomal RNA
Source: RNAcentral